RNAcentral lists this unclassified non-coding RNA (218 nucleotides) under Hevea brasiliensis (rubber tree). Lineage: Eukaryota; Viridiplantae; Streptophyta; Magnoliopsida; Malpighiales; Euphorbiaceae. The record is from RNAcentral.
CAAAACGGAUGGGUGCAGGCAUGGCUAAAUUCAUUUGCCAAGAGGUUGAGACAGUUGGUGAUUAUGAUGAAUAUUGCCACUAUGUAGCUGGACUUGUCGGACUAGGUUUAUCUAAGCUGUUCCACGCUGCGAAGUCAGAGGAUUUGGCACCUGAUUCUCUUUCAAAUUCUAUGGGAUUGUUUCUUCAGAAAACAAACAUUAUCCGAGAUUACUUGGAG